GGGGGGGGGGGCUAUACUGCAGUCGAGCGAACAGAUAAGGAGCUUGCUCCUUUGACGUUAGCGGCGGACGGGUGAGUAACACGUGGAUAACCUACCUAUAAGACUGGGAUAACUUCGGGAAACCGGAGCUAAUACCGGAUAACAUAUUGAACCGCAUGGUUCAAUAGUGAAAGGCGGCUUUGCUGUCACUUAUAGAUGGAUCCGCGCCGUAUUAGCUAGUUGGUAAGGUAACGGCUUACCAAGGCAACGAUACGUAGCCGACCUGAGAGGGUGAUCGGCCACACUGGAACUGAGACACGGUCCAGACUCUAUACGGGAGGCAGCAGUAGGGAAUCUUCCGCAAUGGGCGAAAGCCUGACGGAGCAACGCCGCGUGAGUGAUGAAGGUCUUCGGAUCGUAAAACUCUGUUAUCAGGGAAGAACAAAUGUGUAAGUAACUGUGCACAUCUUGACGGUACCUGAUCAGAAAGCCACGGCUAACUACGUGCCAGCAGCCGCGGUAAUACGUAGGUGGCAAGCGUUAUCCGGAAUUAUUGGGCGUAAAGCGCGCGUAGGCGGUUUUUUAAGUCUGAUGUGAAAGCCCACGGCUCAACCGUGAGGGUCAUUGGAAACUGGAAAACUUGGAGUGCAGAGAGGAAGGGGAAUUCCAUGUGUAGCGUAAAUGCGAAAA
RNAcentral lists this ribosomal RNA (669 nucleotides) under Staphylococcus sp. EK-I88. Its description in RNAcentral is "bacterial SSU rRNA". It matches the Rfam family "Bacterial small subunit ribosomal RNA", at positions 38 to 694 of the family's 1533-position model. Lineage: Bacteria; Bacillati; Bacillota; Bacilli; Caryophanales; Staphylococcaceae. The record is from RNAcentral.